Molecule: ribosomal RNA, 1554 nt
Filed under: Staphylococcus aureus
Lineage: Bacteria; Bacillati; Bacillota; Bacilli; Caryophanales; Staphylococcaceae
Also listed under: 1 other name
Description: 16S ribosomal RNA
Rfam family: Bacterial small subunit ribosomal RNA
Source: RNAcentral
UUUAUGGAGAGUUUGAUCCUGGCUCAGGAUGAACGCUGGCGGCGUGCCUAAUACAUGCAAGUCGAGCGAACGGACGAGAAGCUUGCUUCUCUGAUGUUAGCGGCGGACGGGUGAGUAACACGUGGAUAACCUACCUAUAAGACUGGGAUAACUUCGGGAAACCGUAGCUAAUACCGGAUAAUAUUUUGAACCGCAUGGUUCAAAAGUGAAAGACGGUCUUGCUGUCACUUAUAGAUGGAUCCGCGCUGCAUUAGCUAGUUGGUAAGGUAACGGCUUACCAAGGCAACGAUGCAUAGCCGACCUGAGAGGGUGAUCGGCCACACUGGAACUGAGACACGGUCCAGACUCCUACGGGAGGCAGCAGUAGGGAAUCUUCCGCAAUGGGCGAAAGCCUGACGGAGCAACGCCGCGUGAGUGAUGAAGGUCUUCGGAUCGUAAAACUCUGUUAUUAGGGAAGAACAUAUGUGUAAGUAACUGUGCACAUCUUGACGGUACCUAAUCAGAAAGCCACGGCUAACUACGUGCCAGCAGCCGCGGUAAUACGUAGGUGGCAAGCGUUAUCCGGAAUUAUUGGGCGUAAAGCGCGCGUAGGCGGUUUUUUAAGUCUGAUGUGAAAGCCCACGGCUCAACCGUGGAGGGUCAUUGGAAACUGGAAAACUUGAGUGCAGAAGAGGAAAGUGGAAUUCCAUGUGUAGCGGUGAAAUGCGCAGAGAUAUGGAGGAACACCAGUGGCGAAGGCGACUUUCUGGUCUGUAACUGACGCUGAUGUGCGAAAGCGUGGGGAUCAAACAGGAUUAGAUACCCUGGUAGUCCACGCCGUAAACGAUGAGUGCUAAGUGUUAGGGGGUUUCCGCCCCUUAGUGCUGCAGCUAACGCAUUAAGCACUCCGCCUGGGGAGUACGACCGCAAGGUUGAAACUCAAAGGAAUUGACGGGGACCCGCACAAGCGGUGGAGCAUGUGGUUUAAUUCGAAGCAACGCGAAGAACCUUACCAAAUCUUGACAUCCUUUGACAACUCUAGAGAUAGAGCCUUCCCCUUCGGGGGACAAAGUGACAGGUGGUGCAUGGUUGUCGUCAGCUCGUGUCGUGAGAUGUUGGGUUAAGUCCCGCAACGAGCGCAACCCUUAAGCUUAGUUGCCAUCAUUAAGUUGGGCACUCUAAGUUGACUGCCGGUGACAAACCGGAGGAAGGUGGGGAUGACGUCAAAUCAUCAUGCCCCUUAUGAUUUGGGCUACACACGUGCUACAAUGGACAAUACAAAGGGCAGCGAAACCGCGAGGUCAAGCAAAUCCCAUAAAGUUGUUCUCAGUUCGGAUUGUAGUCUGCAACUCGACUACAUGAAGCUGGAAUCGCUAGUAAUCGUAGAUCAGCAUGCUACGGUGAAUACGUUCCCGGGUCUUGUACACACCGCCCGUCACACCACGAGAGUUUGUAACACCCGAAGCCGGUGGAGUAACCUUUUAGGAGCUAGCCGUCGAAGGUGGGACAAAUGAUUGGGGUGAAGUCGUAACAAGGUAGCCGUAUCGGAAGGUGCGGCUGGAUCACCUCCUUUCU